GGGGGUGAUAAUGGGAUUCGAGGAGGAAAAAGGGUAAAAGGUGCUGGUGGUUUAGCCUGCCUGAAAGGCUAUAAAAUAAAUGCCAAUCAAUCCUUUGCCUAUGCUUUGAGCUAAGCAUAGGGCUUUACAGGAACUCAGUGCUAGGCUAGUUCUGUAGGGUGACGGCAACCUAGCUAGAAGUUAAAAGGUUUGAGAGAGCCUUUUAACUUCGAAAACAAAAUUCUCUCAGGCUUUAGCAUUUUUGCCGGUUUUAUAUGCUAAGGCUAAAUUUAAAAACCGGCUAUACCAGUAGAGCCUUUUGCUCCUUUUUCCUUCGACAGGGGUUCGAUUCCCCUCACCUCCACAA
Molecule: transfer-messenger RNA, 346 nt
Filed under: bacterium
Lineage: Bacteria
Rfam family: transfer-messenger RNA
About the family: Bacterial tmRNA, also known as 10Sa RNA or SsrA, is named for its dual tRNA and mRNA-like properties. Its role is to liberate the mRNA from a stalled ribosome. To accomplish this part of the tmRNA is used as a reading frame that ends in a translation stop signal.
Source: RNAcentral